CGCACGGGUGAGUAACGCGUAUGCAACCUACCCGUAGCUUAGGGAUAGCCCGAAGAAAUUCGGAUUAAUACCUUAUAAUAUUAUGAAACCUCCUGGUUUUAUAAUUAAAGUUCCGGCGGCUACGGAUGGGCAUGCGUGACAUUAGUUUGUUGGUGAGGUAACGGCUCACCAAGACUGCGAUGUCUAGGGGGUCUUAAAGGAUGAUCCCCCACACUGGUACUGAGACACGGACCAGACUCC
Molecule: ribosomal RNA, 240 nt
Filed under: uncultured bacterium
Lineage: Bacteria
Description: partial 16S ribosomal RNA
Rfam family: Bacterial small subunit ribosomal RNA
Source: RNAcentral